AAGCACUUGAUACUAACCAAGCUAUCUGUAUCUCAGAUUUCAUAGAGCUCUGAGAUGCACUUCGUGAUAGCUGGGUCUGAGAAGUGCAACAUCAAAACAAACAGCCAUGCAGUAUUUAAGCUCACUGUGUGGAGGAUCACACUGGGUUAUAACUCAGAGGCACAGAU
Non-coding RNA from Alligator sinensis (Chinese alligator), 167 nucleotides. The record is from Rfam. Lineage: Eukaryota; Metazoa; Chordata; Crocodylia; Alligatoridae.